CUUCAACAUUCUUCAUCCUGAAUAUAUUCUCUUCGGGCUAGGGGAUCAUAUCUUCCAGACAGCCAUUACAUGAGCCGCUGUCUUUCUCUCUAUAGUACUCUCUAUAAUACUACAUAGGGACCUUACCACUAGUGGAAUUAGACAGGGCAGGAGGAGGCACAAAAAAAAAAAUAUAAUAAAUUCUACUCCUCCUACUAAUGUCUUAAUUCCUCCAAACUGCUCAUACCAACUUCCAAACCAACUACUUAGGUUAUACCCAUUCCAGACCUGAGUAGGUACAUGCUCAAAUUUAACCAUGUGGCUUGUAAGUUCAGCCACUGCCUUCCCUUCAUCAUCU
Molecule: non-coding RNA, 337 nt
Organism: Pelobates cultripes (western spadefoot toad)
Lineage: Eukaryota; Metazoa; Chordata; Amphibia; Anura; Pelobatidae
Source: the annotation of a GenBank genome assembly